UACGGAGGGUGCGAGCGUUGUCCGGAAUCACUGGGCGUAAAGGGCGCGUAGGCGGCCAACUAAGUCAGACGUGAAAUCCCUCGGCUUAACCGGGGAACUGCGUCUGAUACUGGAUGGCUUGAGUUCGGGAGAGGGAUGCGGAAUUCCAGGUGUAGCGGUGAAAUGCGUAGAUAUCUGGAGGAACACCGGUGGCGAAGGCGGCAUCCUGGACCGACACUGACACUGAGGAGCGAAAGCCAGGGGAGCAAACGGG
RNAcentral lists this ribosomal RNA (253 nucleotides) under uncultured bacterium. RNAcentral describes it as "partial 16S ribosomal RNA". It matches the Rfam family "Bacterial small subunit ribosomal RNA", at positions 524 to 776 of the family's 1533-position model. The record is from RNAcentral.